This 24-nucleotide small RNA is filed under the name Brassica napus (rape). RNAcentral describes it as "PsRNA_38". The record is from RNAcentral. Lineage: Eukaryota; Viridiplantae; Streptophyta; Magnoliopsida; Brassicales; Brassicaceae.
AGUCCUUUAAAGAACCAAACUAGA